This 936-nucleotide ribosomal RNA is filed under the name Saccharomycetales sp. LM378. RNAcentral's name for it is "bacterial SSU rRNA". The stretch from base 1 to 350 matches the Rfam family "Eukaryotic small subunit ribosomal RNA", at positions 1479 to 1831 of the family's 1831-position model. Lineage: Eukaryota; Fungi; Ascomycota; Saccharomycetes; Saccharomycetales. The record is from RNAcentral.
GUUCUGGGCCGCACGCGCGCUACACUGACGGAGCCAGCGAGUCUACCUUGGCCGAGAGGCCCGGGAAAUCUUGUGAAACUCCGUCGUGCUGGGGAUAGAGCAUUGCAAUUUUUGCUCUUCAACGAGGAAUUCCUAGUAAGCGCAAGUCAUCAGCUUGCGUUGAUUACGUCCCUGCCCUUUGUACACACCGCCCGUCGCUACUACCGAUUGAAUGGCUUAGUGAGGCAUCGGGAUGGAAAGAAAAGAGGGGCAACCCUCUCUUCUGUCUAAAACUUUGUCAAACUUGGUCAUUUAGAGGAAGUAAAAGUCGUAACAAGGUUUCCGUAGGUGAACCUGCGGAAGGAUCAUUAACAUUAAUUUACUACACACUGUUUUUUUACAACAAAAAAAAUCUAUCUAAAAACAAUUCUUUACAAGAAAUUCUUAAAACUUUCAACAACGGAUCUCUUGGUUCUCGCAUCGAUGAAGAACGCAGCGAAAUGCGAUACGUAAUACGAAUCGCAGCUCUCGGAAUCAUCGAAUCUUUGAACGCACAUUGCACCAUUGGGUAUUCCCAAUGGUAUGCUUGUUUGAGCGAAUACUUCCCUAAUCCUCACGGAUUGUAUUGUGUUUGCACGAAAAUAAUGACGACAGUACUCUACAAAACGGUACCGUCAGUACACUCAUUUUUUUUCCUCAAAUCAAGUAGGACUACCCGCUGAACUUAAGCAUAUCAAUAAGCGGAGGAAAAGAACCACAGGGAUUGCCUCAGUACGGCGAGUGAAGCGGCAAAAGCUCAAAUUUGAAAUCCCCCCGGGGAGUUGUAAUUUGAAAAUGCGUCUUGGAGGCGACCGUGUCUAUGUUCCUUGGGAACAGGACGUCCCAAAGGGGGGAAAAUCCCGUGGGGGGACGGGCCCCCGGCUCCUUUUAAGGGGCCUCUCCACCAAUCCAGUUUUU